Cephalotus follicularis is the source of this 196-nucleotide small nuclear RNA. It matches the Rfam family "U2 spliceosomal RNA". From Rfam's summary of the family: U2 is a small nuclear RNA (snRNA) component of the spliceosome (involved in pre-mRNA splicing). The record is from Rfam. Lineage: Eukaryota; Viridiplantae; Streptophyta; Magnoliopsida; Oxalidales; Cephalotaceae.
AUACCUUUCUCGGCCUUUUGGUUAAGAUCAAGUGUAGUAUCUGUUCUUAUCAGUUUAAUAUCUGAUAUGUGGAUCAUAGAUUUACACGAUAUUAAAUUAAUUUUUUUAGGGUGAGAGCCUGUUACGGUAGCUUGCUGCUGGGGUUCUUGAGUGUCGUCCGUGUCUUGCACUAUUGCACGGGUUUGGCGCAACCCAC